Long non-coding RNA from Lagopus leucura (white-tailed ptarmigan), 981 nucleotides. RefSeq lists it as uncharacterized. The record is from RefSeq and is a predicted model, not a curated record. NCBI's taxonomy places the organism in Eukaryota, Metazoa, Chordata, Aves, Galliformes, Phasianidae. The transcript has 4 exons.
CUUAAUAAAGGCUUUCUGGUUUUGGCAUGCAAGCAGGAGAGCAAGCAAGAAAGGAAGCAGCUUGAGUUACUUGAAAUGCUGAGGUGGAGGCGUUUGAGAAGCUGUGAAGGGAGAGGUGUUUUAUGAGCCUGAAUGGAGAGCAGCUACAGAAAUUCUGAUGGGCCUCCUGAAGUAGCCAUGAAAAGUGGUUGCUAAACCCUAAUUUUUCGUUUUUGCCAUUGGUAGAGAAGAUGGUACGGAACAUAGUCAACAAAACACAGAUCCAUAUGCACUGCCCCAAGAAGCCUAGCCACGGGAUUUUUCUACUGACAUUCGUGGGGUUUGGCCUGAAAGAUAGCACAAUAGCUACUACUUUCACCAGAAGAUGUAAAGGGUAAAAUAACUCACUGAAAAUUAGACAGAAGUAUCGCUUUAAGAAACAGCCAAAUAAGCCCAGGUACCCUCAAGCUUGCCCUCCUUUAUGAAAUAAUUUAGCUAAAGCUGAAGUGGAAGUCCACCUCAAAAUGCUGCAGAAUACAGAUAUGCUCAAAAUUCUGGACUUACGGAGAGGAUACUUCCCAUCUCAGAGAACUUAUCUUACUACUAAAAAAGCUCUCCUGUUGAUGAUCCUAUGUAUAAAGAAGAGAUAAUAUAACUGUGCUUUGACAGUGUUUCAUCAGUUAAAAAAACCAAUCUCCUGGAAAACACAGUAGAGUAUGAUAUGCAAGACUAAAACAAGCAACAGUGGAAAAAAGGGAUGCUAAAGUAAUAGUAAGUUGUGCUCACCAACAAUAGCAAAGGGCAUGACUCAAGAAAUGUAUAUUUAUACAAUAUGGGAACAGAUAACUGGGAAAAUGGAUCGGCAAUACGCGUUAAGCUCAGUUAACAGAAGGGUUUCUACAGAGAAACAGACUCAUCCUGAAAAUGAAGACAUUAUUACACAAGGUGGCAGCCAGGAGCACUUUAUUUUCACGGUUCUGGAAGAAUUUUUCUGUAACUGAG